Styela clava is the source of this 2836-nucleotide non-coding RNA. NCBI's taxonomy places the organism in Eukaryota, Metazoa, Chordata, Ascidiacea, Stolidobranchia, Styelidae. The record is from RefSeq and is a predicted model, not a curated record.
CUAACGUGAGGGGAACAUUGUUAGACAAAGAUCUAACAGGGAGGGAAUACGUUAGUGACAACGAUCUAACGUGAGGGGAACAUUGUUAGACAAAGAUCUAACAGGGAGGGAAUACGUUAGUGACAACGAUCUAACGGGAGGGGAACAUUGUUAGACGAAGAUCUAACAGGGAGGGAAUACGUUAGUGACAACGAUCUAACGUGAGGGGAACAUUGUUAGACAAAGAUCUAACAGGGAGGGAAUACGUUAGUGACAACGAUCUAACGUGAGGGGAACAUUGUUAGACAAAGAUCUAACAGGGAGGGAAUACGUUAGUGACAACGAUCUAACGGGAGGGGAACAUUGUUAGACAAAGAUCUAACAGGGUGGGAAUACGUUAGUGACAACGAUCUAACGUGAGGGGAACAUUGUUAGACAAAGAUCUAACAGGGAGGGAAUACGUUAGUGACAACGAUCUAACGUGAGGGGAACAUUGUUGGGCUAAGAUCUAACAGGGUGGGAAUACGUUAGUGACAACGAUCUAACGUGAGGUGAAUAUUGUUGGACAAAGAUCUAACAGGGAGGGAAUACGUUAGUGAUAACGAUCUAACGUGAAGGGAACAUUGUUAGACAAAGAUCUAGCAGGGAGGGAAUACGUUAGUGACAACGAUCUAACGUGAGGGGAACAUUGUUAGACAAAGAUCUGACAGGGAGGGAAUACGUUAGUGACAACGAUCUAACGUGAAGGGAAUGUUGUUAGACUAAGACUAACAGGGAGGGAAUAACUAGAGAUACGAUCCAACAAAUGCUAACAAAUAAAGCUUGCUAUUUUGUGGAGUGAGAUUUUUAUUCUUAUUUAUCACUUUGAUAUUAUCGUGUUCAAGUAUCCUUGUGGCUAUGGCCACAUAUAGAUCUGAAUUUGAAGUGGAGAGUAGACAAUGGAAAAGGAAAGGCAGUACAAUAUACAAUAUCCUAGUACUUCCAGAAUUGACAUAUCUGAAUAGUUUGUGUAUCGCUAGUGACAACUAUGGAUCCUGCUCUGCCCAGAAUCCAUGACUAAGAUCAAUGAAAACCCAACCAACUAUUCAUCAAAUUGCAACAAAAUUUCUGUGACAAUGCAUAGUACACAUCUUUUCAUUUUGAAGGCUUAAUUUAACCAUGAAAGUACCUAAGUAUUUUACACAGAUUAAUACUGUGGUUAGACUGUGAUCUAAUGAAAGAUACUCAAUUGAACUUGUGGGGAAACAUGUUUUGCAGAAUGAUUUAACGUCAUUUUUAUUAGCAUUAUUUUGAUUUUGCAAUUUUAUUUUAUCUUAGUGGCCUUUUCUUGAAUGUUUAAUUUGUUCACAAGUGGCGCAGUCAGUGAGGGCAUUUGGGGGGUGUAUUUGGUAUAGUUUUUGAAAUCGUCAGGUUAAGCUGGGAAAAGUUCGUGAAACGCAAUGCAGAAUACUACGGUAUAUUAUGAUAUUAAUUGGUGUCUUUCAAUCUUUACAUUUCUAUCUGAAACGAUGGAGUAAAUGUCCUUCAAUUUAGUUAAUAAGAUGUGGAGGCGUUUAACCAGUAUCCAUACUGAGGCUUAGUGCAGAAGUGCUGUUUAACUAAUUUGGUUAAGCCGCUUCAUCAGCUUUUCCUUAUUCCAGGAUAAAUGUUCAGCUAUAGAGAAGUUUCAAUUCUCUUGGCUUCGUUGAUGAGUUCAUGAAGCCGUUUGAUACCUUUCCACCAUUUAAAUUCAUGUAUCUGGACUGUUAACAGCUGCAGUGUACACUGUUCCAGAACAUCAACCUGUUACUUUGACACAUGCUGAAACAAUGAUUUUUUAUCAGGUUUCUAGUAAUUGAUUUGAUGUCAACUCAUUAGAUUUGAAAUAUACUUGCAUUUUUAUCUGUCCCGUUUUCUUAAAAUGCUAUCAUUUACUGCAUAGAUAAAUUGGUUAAUGCACGAACACAACUAAGGUGACCUCAUAUGUUAAAAGACUAUUCAACUCUCAUUACGCGGUCCGAAUCCACCCUUUCGUACACGAUUUGGAUUGCAUCUGAUUCUUCGUUUUGAAGCAUUGAUCCAAUUUAGCUUUGGAUAUGUUAAGGUUUCUUUUGUUCAUAGUUUAGAGAACUAUUUUAUCAUUUGCUCACAUUUGAACUCGUAUAUAAAAAACAACUGUGGCGUCGCAUGGACAAUAUGAAUAGCGCUAUGUUAUUUUGCAAAUAAUCUUUAAGCGGGGAACUACCAUAUGCACGUUGAUGAUGUCAAACAUUUGUCACUCAGUUUUCCACCAAUUAUUUUCUAUUAGCAUUUCAACUCAAAAUGAAAUAUAUAUUUUCUGCAAGGAUCAGACCCCAGGAAUUUUAAGUUUUUUUUCCUGUAGUAAAAUUGUUUAAUGACCAUGGUUUAAGCUAUGGUCAGUCUACCUUUCAACUUAUUUUCAAAGUCAAUUUAUUUGUGGACUUGUUGAUGGUUAUAUUUUCAUUAUUUACUUCGCUGGGUAUUUCUUAUUGGUUCGGUCAAAUUUACCAUUGUUUGUUUUGUAUUCAGACAACCAUUUGAUAAAUUUAUGAUUGGCAGUUUAUCAGAGAACUGCAGCUUUUCACAUUUGGAAUUAUUUGCAUCUUUACUUUGAUGUAAGUACACUGUUCCAAAAUCUACCUAAAUAUUUCUAGAUGUGAAAAAUUAUAAAUAUAACUCAGGUCAGCAAUAAUAGUGAUUAUAUGCUGCUGAAGUAGUUUAGUAUUCAUGGUUUGAAUGUGAUUUUCAUAGUAUUUGUGAUGAGUUACAUAAACAUUGCGGAAUGACUACUGACUGGAGGAAACUCCCCCGUUUUUAUUGUUGUACUCAUCUCAAGUCAAGAUAAUGAUUUCAAAUA